GAUGAACGCUAGCGGCAGGCUUAAUACAUGCAAGUCGAGGGGCAGCACAGGUAGCAAUACUGGGUGGCGACCGGCAAACGGGUGCGGAACACGUACGCAACCUUCCUUUAAGUGGGGGAUAGCCCAGGGAAACUUGGAUUAAUACCCCUUAACAUUAUGAGAUGGCAUCAUUUUAUAAUUAAAGCUCCGGCGCUUAAAGAUGGGCGUGCGCCUGAUUAGGUAGUUGGCGGGGUAACAGCCCACCAAGCCUACGAUCAGUAACUGGUGUGAGAGCACAACCAGUCACACGGUCACUGAGACACGGGCCCGACUCCUACGGGGGGCAGCAGUAAGGAAUAUUGGUCAAUGGACUCAAGUCUGAACAAGCCACGCCGCGUGGAGGAUGACGGCCCUCUGGGUUGUAAACUCCUUUUAUCUGGGAAGAAAUGCAGAUUUUCUAAUCUGUUUGACGGUACCAGAGGAAUAAGCACCGGCUAACUCCGUGCCAGCCGCCGCGGUAA
RNAcentral lists this ribosomal RNA (500 nucleotides) under uncultured bacterium. Its description in RNAcentral is "partial 16S ribosomal RNA". It matches the Rfam family "Bacterial small subunit ribosomal RNA", at positions 28 to 523 of the family's 1533-position model. The record is from RNAcentral.